ACACAACACUGUAAAGCAAGUAUCCUCCAAUUAAAAAUAAAAUUAAAAAAAAAACAAAAAAUCAAGCUGGCUAUGUUACUCUAACAAAAAUAAAACGCAUCUGAAUCAAGAUUGAAAUGUGAGAGUAAUUAAUAAUGCACCUCUGUAUGUUCUAGAACAGUGGUUCUCCCGGUGGAAUACAUGUGGCAUCUUUGCCUCCCAGGGGACAUUUGAGACGUCUGGAGACAUUGCCAGUGGUCACAGUUGGAGGGGAGGAAAUGCUUCUGGCCUCUGGCGGAUGGAGACCAGGGUGUUGCCAUUUCACCGCACACAGGCUAGACCUCCAGGGAAAGAUCAUCCUGUCUGAAAGUCAGAGACAACUUGUCCUGGAAGGAGGCGAAAGGGCAGGAGUCACCUCUGGAAGAAAGAGGAUGUGAUGAAGGGGGAUGGUCUUCAGGGCAGGAAGAGGAGGGGAAAAGCCUGCCUUCUUCCUAAGGCCACUGCGGAGAGGCCUGUGGAGCCCGAGGUCCCAUGGAUAAAAUUGAAAAAGAGUCAAAAAGACAAUCAAAUGGCAAGAGUACCAAAAAGCAACGGAAGAGCGUGGCCCACAGUUUGAAGUCAUCAUGGAAGACGGUGGAAGAGUUUGCAGGGACAGGAGAAGGGUUAAUUCCACAGCCCAGAAUGUCAGAUGGAGGAGAUUUUUGAGAUUUUUCUCUGGAAGCUCCAGGGAAGCUCUUAGCUCAGAGUCAACAAAAAGGAAUGAUGUCAUGCCAGUUCGAGUCUCACCUCUGAGAGGACUGGUGACUUUUGAGUUCUUCCCCCGGAAAUUCUUGGAACCCAACUGCCUUUCAGGACCCAGUGGCCACUCUUUGAGAAGCACAGGCUGCUGGGAAAGGCCGAGCGAAGGUGCUGCAGCCAGCAGCCUGCAGGAGCAUCACCUGCCGUUGGAUAACUCAGCUCAGCCCACUUCUCUCCUAGAGAGGAAGACCCACCCAGCAGAGCCCACUCAGCCCACAGAGGCCCUGGGGAUUAUAGAGUCGUAUGUAAGUAUUUAGAUACCGAUUGUGCAGAGGAUUACCAUAGUUUAAAAUGCUGAGAGCUGAAGAGGGAAGGGGAUGUGAGAGGCAAAGUAUAAAGCCUUAACACAGCGACAGAAUUUAAAGUGCUAAUUUGUAACAGAAAAACAAACACAGAACAUCUUAUUAUAUAUUUCUGGAAAGUGGAACUAAGGGUAGGAAUAAUUCACAAGGGAACUUACAUUAUCAUUUUAUAGUUUUCAUUAAAUUUUUACUUUUUCAUUGUUGUUUA
Odocoileus virginianus texanus is the source of this 1287-nucleotide long non-coding RNA. RefSeq lists it as uncharacterized. Lineage: Eukaryota; Metazoa; Chordata; Mammalia; Artiodactyla; Cervidae. The record is from RefSeq and is a predicted model, not a curated record.